UCGAGAAUCUUCCGCAAUGGGCGAAAGCCUGACGGAGCGACACCGCGUGCAGGACGAAGGCCCUCGGGUUGUAAACUGCUGUCACGCUCUAGGAAUGCCAUGUCGUUAAUAGCGGCAUGGUUGACCAAGGCGAAAGGAAGUGGCGGCUAACUCUGUGCCAGCAGCCGCGGUAAGACAGAGGCCACGAACGUUGUUCGGAAUCACUGGGCAUAAAGCGCACGUAGGCGGCUAGGUCCGUCCAAUGUGAAAGCCCCCGGCUCAACCGGGGAAUUGCAUCGGAUACAGCCUGGCUUGAGGACGGUUGGGGUGAGUGGAACUCCUGGUGGAGCGGUGAAAUGCGUAGAUAUCAGGAGGAACACCGGUGGCGAAAGCGGCUCACUGGACCGUAACUGACGCUGAGGUGCGAAAGCUAGGGGAGCAAACAGGAUUAGAUACCCUUGUAGUCCCUGAGCGGGCUGGCAAGGCGCAU
Molecule: ribosomal RNA, 469 nt
Filed under: uncultured bacterium
Lineage: Bacteria
Description: bacterial SSU rRNA
Rfam family: Bacterial small subunit ribosomal RNA
Source: RNAcentral